This is a long non-coding RNA of Anneissia japonica, 339 nucleotides long. RefSeq lists it as uncharacterized. The transcript has 3 exons. Lineage: Eukaryota; Metazoa; Echinodermata; Crinoidea; Comatulida; Comatulidae. The record is from RefSeq and is a predicted model, not a curated record.
UUUAAUUGUUUAAUAAUAUAUCAAUAAUUUCAUUUCAGAAUGGGGCCUAUGUUGCAAGCUAUGUAGAGACCCUGUUCUCCAAAACAAAUACCAAACUUAAUGACGACUAUACAGAUACACCAUAUUAUAAACUUCUUUGUUUUCUUGCUAUGUUAAGAAAUUCGGCCGUGGAAAAAGUAUCGAGGUUUCUAGAAAGCAUGGAAAGAAAAGAGAUUUACUUUCGGGUCGACACGUAUAUCAACUUUUUAAAGUUAUUGGUUUAUGGUAAUGCCGUUGAUGCAUAUUCAGUGGAACUUCUCAAACAAUUUGAAAUCGGUUUAUUUCCAUUGGACUCACGUG